GGGAGAAAUUUAUAUUGUUGUUUGCUAAUUUUGAAACUGUUGCGUAGCGUCAGCCAUGAGCCAGUUUUAUUUUUCUGAACGCGAAAACAAGCGAGACUCAACAUCAUUCGAUUUCCAACUAUUGUGAAGUAAUUUGCUUGGCCUUUUGUUCCGACCAAGAUGCUGCAGUUGAAGUAUUACCGUGACGAGGAUGGAUAUAAUUUCCGAUACAUGCCGGACAUUAGAUAUUAUUAUGACGACAAAAUUCAGCGUCCUCUGAGUUCGUUUUACGAUUACCCGUUCCGAACGAGGGUUUGGGUACCUUACGGUAACUUGAGGGUGUUCUGCGACUACAUGCCGUCCAAUCUUCCCUUUGAGAUUCAGAGGACCAGCAACCCGUUAUACUUUAAACAUUGGGCAACGAAGAGACGGUUGGUGGAAUAUUGAGUCAUCGAGGAUGUGACAAUUCCACACACAAUUGUUUUUACAUAAUUUUUUUGUUAUAAGCAUACGACUGUAUGAAGUUGAUAUGUAAAUAAAAGUUAGCCAGCCAAUUGGGUUUAGUUUAACCAAAUUU
Molecule: long non-coding RNA, 556 nt
Organism: Cylas formicarius (sweet potato weevil)
Lineage: Eukaryota; Metazoa; Arthropoda; Insecta; Coleoptera; Brentidae
Exons: 3
Source: RefSeq, a predicted model, not a curated record